GAAAGCGAAGGACACACAGCAGCCUGGGAAAGGAAACAGACGUCCAGAGCAAAAUUCCCACUUUAAUGAUCAUCAAGAGUUUCAGCCACUGCAAGCUCUUUGUCUCGGUCUCUCUCUCUUCAUGAGUGCGGAUCACUAAAUACUUCAAUUUAUCCUUCAGCAGAAGCAGGUGAUGUAAUCUGAGGGGCUCUAAAAGAUUCUUUAAGGAUGAAGAGAAGCUUGGCCUUGAUGGUUUCUGCUGGUUUCUUCCUGUGUUUAGCAUUUACAGGGUGUGUGGAUGCGGGAUGGGCCUGGGCAGUGCCAGCCAAGUGCAGAAGACAGCAGUGUGAUAAAAUCAACUUUGAUGCUGUCGUUCAGGAUUUUUGUGUUCUGCCGUUUAAACAGAAUAUGGAAACCAGUGACUACCAGUUCAACUGUCCCUGGCCAGCCAC
Danio aesculapii is the source of this 431-nucleotide long non-coding RNA. RefSeq lists it as uncharacterized. The transcript has 3 exons. Lineage: Eukaryota; Metazoa; Chordata; Actinopteri; Cypriniformes; Danionidae. The record is from RefSeq and is a predicted model, not a curated record.